RNAcentral lists this ribosomal RNA (253 nucleotides) under uncultured bacterium. RNAcentral's name for it is "partial 16S ribosomal RNA". It matches the Rfam family "Bacterial small subunit ribosomal RNA", at positions 524 to 776 of the family's 1533-position model. The record is from RNAcentral.
UACGUAGGGUCCGAGCGUUGUCCGGAAUUACUGGGCGUAAAGAGCUCGUAGGUGGUUUGUCGCGUUGUUCGUGAAAACUCACAGCUCAACUGUGGGCGUGCGGGCGAUACGGGCAGACUUGAGUACUGCAGGGGAGACUGGAAUUCCUGGUGUAGCGGUGGAAUGCGCAGAUAUCAGGAGGAACACCGGUGGCGAAGGCGGGUCUCUGGGCAGUAACUGACGCUGAGGAGCGAAAGCAUGGGGAGCAAACAGG